AUUAGUCGGAUGUUGUUCUUGCAAGCAAGCACACCUCUUAUUUCGAUUUAUUAUUGUGUUGUCAAUAUUCAUGCCAGCGUGUGCUUUGAAUUGGUGCAGGAGCCAUACAAGGCUAAAAUGCCCAGGGAUCACUUUUCACUAUUUUCCUGCCGAUGCAAUUCGGCAAAAACGUGAAUAGCUGCAGUUAACUUGGAAAGACAAGAAAGAAUAUGACUGGAUGCCUGUGAAAACCAGCAGAGUAUGCUCUAUUCAGUCUAUCAAACAUGCUGGACGCUAGUCUUCAAUUGCCAGAAACAGUGGAGAAAAUUGUAGGCUAUAUAGCCGGCUUUGUAAGCCGAAAACUGCAAGCGAAAAUCAACUGUCCAGAAUGCUUAUCAUUGCUACCUGCUAAUGAAAAUUUGUAUUUUCACAAUCUGAUUAGUUUGAAAGAUUUCGAUGGUCUCUCGUACCCAUCUGUAGUGUUGUAUAAAAUAUGCACACGCACAGAAAUACUAAUAAGACAGAUAAUAAAAAUACAUGAUAACGGAAAAUCUGUCAGUAAUAUCUACACAGUGUUUUUCUAAAAUAAUUGACAAUGAAGAUAUUCUACGCUUACUAAAAAAACAGUCACCAGACAAUAAAUAAUGACCAUUUCUUCUUUUUUUAUAAAAUGUGUAAUGGUUGAAUUUCUCAGAAUCCGACUUCCCUACAUUGCGAAAAAAGAUGAUUUUUUAAUUUCUUCUAGGCAAAACUUACUAAAUUAAUUAUAUUUUUAAUUAAUUUUUGAAUUGAUUAAUUAUCUUAUAGAGUUUAUUAGAAAAAAAAAACUAAUAUAUAAACAUUAUACAAUGA
Bombyx mori (domestic silkworm) is the source of this 831-nucleotide long non-coding RNA. RefSeq lists it as uncharacterized. The record is from RefSeq and is a predicted model, not a curated record. NCBI's taxonomy places the organism in Eukaryota, Metazoa, Arthropoda, Insecta, Lepidoptera, Bombycidae. The transcript is spliced from 2 exons.